Molecule: non-coding RNA, 2333 nt
Organism: Theobroma cacao (cacao)
Lineage: Eukaryota; Viridiplantae; Streptophyta; Magnoliopsida; Malvales; Malvaceae
Source: RefSeq, a predicted model, not a curated record
AAGAAAUCAUACCAUCCGAUUCCGGACAAAAUCUUUGGCGGCCUCCUUUUCUUUCCCCCAGCUUACGUACUAGCAAUCACAAGGCCCAAAACCACCAGCGACGAGGAAGAAGAUGAGAUUGAGCUUGAGGUUGUUAGAAUAAAAUAAAUGGUGAGAAGAUGAUAGCGGCAGCAGCAUCGAAAUAAGCAAAACCCAUAUCUUCUGACUCUUUCUGUUCGUAUCAUCUGUCGUCACCAACCUUUGAGCUUGUUACGGCGACGACUCAGUCCCCUGCUCCUCCCUAUUCCACCGAAAAUAAACCCCAAACUACUCCAGCAUGGGGCUCCAAGUAGUUAUGGGCAUUUAAGGAGUUGAUGGACGGAGGACAUGGAAUAACCAUGUAAUGGAAAUGGAGCAGAUAUUGGGAAUUGAAGCUGUAAGAAAAUGCAUAAUCGAUGAGAUAGCACAAACUAUGGAACAUCAUGGAAUGACCAAAGACAGACGCCAUAUGAUGCUUCUAGCAGAUGUGAUGACAUUUAGGGGGGAAGUUCUUGGCAUCACAAGAUUUGGUAUCCAAAAAUUGAACAAGAGUAUAUUGAUGCUGGCUUCAUUUAAGAGAACAGCUGAUCACAAUACUACUGUUAACGGGAGGGAUGACAAGAUUAAGGGAGUUACUGAGUGCAUCAUCAUAGGAAUCCCAAUGCAAAUAGGCACUGGAAUACUCAAAGUUAUACAGAGGAAAAGCAUUAAUGUCGUUGAUCAUAUUCCUCAUGCCAUGUGUGCAAGCAAGAAUCAUGCCGUGCAGAACAUUGCGAUUCAAUGAGUCAGUUUGUAACCCAUAUAAUGCUGAUUUUGAUGGUGAUGAAAUGAACAUGCAUGUCCCGCAAACAGAAGAGGCUCAAACAGAGGCAUUCAUGUUGGUGGGGGUGCAAAAUAAUUUAUGCGCGCCAAAAAAUGGAGAAAUUUUGGUUGCUUCCAUUCAAGAUUUUUUAACAUCUUCUUUUCUCAUUACAAGGAAGGAUACUUUCUAUGACCGUGUAGCUUUUUCACCUAUAUGCUCCUAUAUGGGUGAUGGCAUGGAUCUUAUAAAUUUGCCGACUCUAGCAUUACUUAAGCCAAUAGAGCUUUGUACUGGUAGCAAUUGUUUAGUGUUCUAUUAUGCCCACAUGCAAGUGUGAAAGUCUACUUGACUCUUAUUGUUAAAGAGAGGAACUACUCUAAGAAGAUUAUGAAAAGGAUUGGGAAUAAGGAAAUAGAAGUAGAAACAAUGUCCCAUGACGACGGAUUUGUUUAUGCUUGGAAUAAUGAGCUUAUAUGUGGGCAAUUGGGGAAAGCUACUUUUGGUAAGUUUUUGCUUAUUUCUUACUUUUUCCUACAUGUUCUGCAUGGAAUCAAUAAUCUCAUGUUCUUUUAAUUUGUUAUUCUGAAAUAUGAUUCUCAUUUUUUAGGUUUUCUAUUGAGUCAUAGAAACAUGCAUUGGCAAAGUGUCUCGUAGAUUAGUUUAAUAAUUAUGAGACUUGAGAGAUACCAGCUGCAUCUAGCAUCAUCAGGGUGAGAUAAGAUCUAUUGCUUGGUAAUUUUGAUUUGGUAUGUUGACAAGAUUACUCAAUAAAAAAUUAGGCCAAAACUGCAUGCUGAAUGAAGAGAAUACAGCUCUUGUUCCAAAGUUUUUACCAUACUUUUGGUUAGGUGGAAUGAAGAGAAUAAAAUUCUUGUUAGACAUUCUUUAGAGCAUAUUUUUAUUUGAGACUUUCCAUUUUUUAAUCUAUUACUUACCAUGGCUAAACUUUUAUGUUUACUAUAAUUGCUUUGUUCCUUUCAGUUUAUUCCUUAGAAUUAGAAAGGAAGAAAGCCUGUCACACACAAACACUGUUAGUUGCCCGUAGAUGUGGAGGAGCUACUUCUUAUCUAUCUUUCUUAUUUUUUUUCUUUUGUUUUCUGGUUUCCUCCGUGUAUAGUGUAUGAUAGAGUUGCUUUCUUCCUCUUGCUUGACAUAUUUGAAAUGAGUCAUAUUGGCUUGUAGGGCCACUUUUACAUAAGUCAUAGAGCUUGAGGUCACUGCAAGAUGACGUUUUUGGAUGACUCUUAAUGGGGCAAACUUAUGUUUUACUAAUUGCUUUAGGAUUAGGACUGGAUGUAUUAUCUAGCCUAUUUAUGAUUCCUUCUUCCUGUUAUGGGUUUAUAGUAGGUUACAGGGCCUACACUCAGUUGAACUCUUCUGUGAUGAACUAAACACAAGCUGAAACCCAGUAGAAUAGUUUUCAGCGAGCAUUCUAAGCAUUGUACAUAUUCUAUCUGUUUGGUUUGUUUCAAAUGCUAAUAGUUAAUGCAAGACAUUAAUUGUUGUUUUUUAA